RNAcentral lists this ribosomal RNA (198 nucleotides) under Triticum aestivum (bread wheat). RNAcentral describes it as "partial small subunit ribosomal RNA". The record is from RNAcentral. Lineage: Eukaryota; Viridiplantae; Streptophyta; Magnoliopsida; Poales; Poaceae.
AUGGUUACUUCUAUUGUACUGCUUGAUUGGCCCAUGUAUGUUGUUGUCGUGCCUCUGUCGGCACACCCAUGGAUUAGCGCAGCGGGCUGCUUAGGCUCCAUUGUUAAGCUUAUGCUUUCAGAGUUCAGCAUUGCAGCAACAUCUGUCAUGGCGGGUCGAUCUGCUGGAUCUUCCUGGGCACAAAGCAGUGCCACUUGA